RNAcentral lists this unclassified non-coding RNA (317 nucleotides) under Hevea brasiliensis (rubber tree). Lineage: Eukaryota; Viridiplantae; Streptophyta; Magnoliopsida; Malpighiales; Euphorbiaceae. The record is from RNAcentral.
AAGGUAAAAAUUACACAACUUAAGUUCGGGACUACCUUUACAAAUUCUGCUACUUUGAAUGCAUCUAGGACGUUUGAAAAUGCUAAGAUCGACUGUAAUAUUAACUAUGUUCUGAGACAGGUCACUGGGCAGCUGGAUCAAACCUUAAACUCGAUCCCGAAUGCCGAUGAGCUAAUAUUGAUCCGAUUGCACCUAAACAAAGCCCACAAAUUGUUAAAAAUUAUCACAUAAUUAUUUUUAAUUUAUAGGAAUCAAAAAGGCCUGAAAAUCUCACAAAGUGAUUUGGAUCAUCUGAUAAUUGCCUUUUUCAAAUGGUG